CUCUUGAGAGCGGCGGACGGGUGAGUAAUGCCUAGGAAUCUGCCUGGUAGUGGGGGAUAACGCUCGGAAACGGACGCUAAUACCGCAUACGUCCUACGGGAGAAAGCAGGGGACCUUCGGGCCUUGCGCUAUCAGAUGAGCCUAGGUCGGAUUAGCUAGUUGGUGAGGUAAUGGCUCACCAAGGCGACGAUCCGUAACUGGUCUGAGAGGAUGAUCAGUCACACUGGAACUGAGACACGGUCCAGACUCCUACGGGAGGCAGCAGUGGGGAAUAUUGGACAAUGGGCGAAAGCCUGAUCCAGCCAUGCCGCGUGUGUGAAGAAGGUCUUCGGAUUGUAAAGCACUUUAAGUUGGGAGGAAGGGUUGUAGAUUAAUACUCUGCAAUUUUGACGUUACCGACAGAAUAAGCACCGGCUAACUCUGUGCCAGCAGCCGCGGUAAUACAGAGGGUGCAAGCGUUAAUCGGAAUUACUGGGCGUAAAGCGCGCGUAGGUGGUUCGUUAAGUUGGAUGUGAAAGCCCCGGGCUCAACCUGGGAACUGCAUUCAAAACUGUCGAGCUAGAGUAUGGUAGAGGGUGGUGGAAUUUCC
This 589-nucleotide ribosomal RNA is filed under the name Pseudomonas sp. EECC-256. RNAcentral describes it as "bacterial SSU rRNA". It matches the Rfam family "Bacterial small subunit ribosomal RNA", at positions 86 to 671 of the family's 1533-position model. The record is from RNAcentral. Lineage: Bacteria; Pseudomonadati; Pseudomonadota; Gammaproteobacteria; Pseudomonadales; Pseudomonadaceae.